CCCUGGGGGGCAGGGACACUGGCUGGGGGCUGUUCUCAGGUACCCCAUCCAGAGCAGGUGGAGCAUCCAGAGCUCCCUGAGCGGCUCUUACCACAGCCUAGGGCAGUGGCCCCCAAACUCUGGGUUGCAUCCCCCUAGGGAGCACAGAGGAACAUUCGGGGUGGGUGCAGCAGGGCCCAGGUCAGCAUCACCCAGCCCUACUCCACUCUGGCCCUGACACAGCCCUGCCCCCUGCCCUGGCCCUGGCUCUGCUUCUGGCCAUGGCCCCAGCCACAGCUCCAGCCUCACUCCCGGCCACAGCCCCACUCCCAGCCCCCAACUGUGGGUCCCAGCCCCACCACAGGCCCCAGCUCCUGGCAGGGUGCUUAGUGCUACUGAAAGUAACCCUCUCCUUGUUACUGUGCAGGGCAAGAGAACUCAGAGAACAGUGACCAGCACAACGCAAUAAUGAUAAAUGUACAGGAAGCAUCACAACAUUAAUAGAUUUGCACAUUCUGUCUCUAACAAUGUGUAUGGACAAUGCCUGUCUCUGGUGGGACUGCUAAAUGGGAUUGUAAUACAAUCUAUUAUAAUGGAACAAUUCAAACCUGCCUGCAGUUCAUACGCAGAAAAACAAAGUAUCUUAAAAAUG
Molecule: long non-coding RNA, 631 nt
Organism: Gopherus flavomarginatus (Mexican gopher tortoise)
Lineage: Eukaryota; Metazoa; Chordata; Testudines; Testudinidae
Exons: 2
Source: RefSeq, a predicted model, not a curated record